GACGAACGCUGGCGGUGUGCUUAACACAUGCAAGUCGAACGGAAAGGCCCUGCUUUUGUGGGGUGCUCGAGUGGCGAACGGGUGAGUAACACGUGAGUAACCUGCCCUUGACUUUGGGAUAACUUCAGGAAACUGGGGCUAAUACCGGAUAGGAGCUCCUGCUGCAUGGUGGGGGUUGGAAAGUUUCGGCGGUUGGGGAUGGACUCGCGGCUUAUCAGCUUGUUGGUGGGGUAGUGGCUUACCAAGGCUUUGACGGGUAGCCGGCCUGAGAGGGUGACCGGCCACAUUGGGACUGAGAUACGGCCCAGACUCCUACAGGAGGCAGCAGUGGGGAAUAUUGCACAAUGGGCGGAAGCCUGAUGCAGCAACGCCGCGUGCGGGAUGACGGCCUUCGGGUUGUAAACCGCUUUCGCCUGUGACGAAGCGUGAGUGACGGUAAUGGGUAAAGAAGCACCGGCUAACUACGUG
Molecule: ribosomal RNA, 468 nt
Filed under: uncultured bacterium
Lineage: Bacteria
Description: partial 16S ribosomal RNA
Rfam family: Bacterial small subunit ribosomal RNA
Source: RNAcentral